AUCAACCAAUUGGGCUGUAUCCUGAUGAAGCAGGGCCAGCAGAUCCUCCAGUUUAGCUCUCAUUUCUGCCGAUGAAAUCCCUACUGCUUGAGAAGAGCUUGCUUCCUCACCUUCGUCAUCAGAAAUUUCAAUAGCAAAAGAGAACAAGCUAUCGGGAGAAUCUUGUUCGUGAAAAGAAGAUAAAAUAAGUUAUUUGAUGAUCAAGUACUGGUGAUGGAAAAUAGAAAUCAGGUGACUUACUUGUUUUAGGGCAAUUUCUUGCCUCUGGCUAGCUGAAGCCGAUGGCACAAUGGGUUGAUCGGCUGGAGUUGCCGAUGGAAUAAUGUCAGCUGAAAAUGAUAUAAUGGUAAUGAGUGUUGCAAGUUGAAAAAAAACAGAAAAAAAUCCAUCAGCAAAUAAUCAUAUGGACAGAACCUUACCUUGAAGGGGUGCAGUGCUUGUUUGGAUUGAAGAGACUACCGAUGAUAUGAUUGAUCCCACUGGAUCGGCGAUCUGUUCAAGUACAUCGUCUAUUAUUUCUUCCGGCUGGGGUACCUCUUGUGGCUGAGGUGGAGAUGGCGCUUGUUGUGUCUGAGCCUCUAGUGAAGAAGGGGACGAUUCCACGUGAAUCGGCGACCUUGGAGGAGGGGGAGGAGGUGAUGCUGUCCCCUGACGCUUUGCUUGUGACUUGGUACUCUUGGGACCCUUUCUCUUAGCUUGACUAGCUUGGGGGGCAUCGGCACUUGCUUUGGUACUUCUGGUCUUUGCCGAUUUACCCGUUUGCUGAUACAACGAUAAAAAGUUUCAUGAAAACAAGCGUAACAGGGUAUUAAUGGAAUUUUGGUUGCGAAAGUGAAAGUUACCGAUGAGGUGCCCAUGGCUGCCGAUGUAUCCUGAAAAGGCCGUGUAAGUAUGGAAUGGGAUCAGAAUAAAUUGAAGAGAUAAAAACUUUCUACCUUGAAAACUUGCGCCAGAGUAGCAGCAGCGACCGAUGGGGAUGUCUUGGUCCGCUUGGUGGUGAUUUUCUUGAAACACGUGUCCCGGUGCAUUAGGGCCGCCAAACUUGGAGCGUUAUUGCCGAUCAGAGAAAUCGGGCCCGAUGGGAGGAGCUCGAUCGGCUUACCACUUCUGCUGACUGAUGGUUGUUGAUAUUUGGUAACGCAAUAAGGAAACGAUCCGCAAGCGCACGGAUAUCGGUGAGCAUUUCACCCGGGAGGUUA
This 1199-nucleotide long non-coding RNA is filed under the name Sorghum bicolor (sorghum). RNAcentral describes it as "long non-coding RNA (SBIC_LNC005018)". Lineage: Eukaryota; Viridiplantae; Streptophyta; Magnoliopsida; Poales; Poaceae. The record is from RNAcentral.